RNAcentral lists this ribosomal RNA (246 nucleotides) under uncultured bacterium. RNAcentral describes it as "partial small subunit ribosomal RNA". It matches the Rfam family "Bacterial small subunit ribosomal RNA", at positions 26 to 285 of the family's 1533-position model. The record is from RNAcentral.
AGAAUCAACGCUGGCGGCGUGCCUAACACAUGCAAGUCGCACGAGAAAGGGUAGCAAUACCUGAGUACAGUGGCGCACGGGUGAGUAACACGUGAAUUAUCUACCUCCGAGUGGGGAAUAACUGAGAGAAAUCUUAGCUAAUACCGCAUAACACUUACGAGUCAAAGCAGCAAUGCGCUUGGAGAGGAGUUCGCGGCAGAUUAGUUAGUUGGCGGGGUAAUGGCCCACCGAAGACGAUGAUCUGUA